This 765-nucleotide ribosomal RNA is filed under the name uncultured Streptococcus sp. Its description in RNAcentral is "bacterial SSU rRNA". It matches the Rfam family "Bacterial small subunit ribosomal RNA", at positions 28 to 776 of the family's 1533-position model. Lineage: Bacteria; Bacillati; Bacillota; Bacilli; Lactobacillales; Streptococcaceae. The record is from RNAcentral.
GAUGAACGCUGGCGGCGUGCCUAAUACAUGCAAGUAGAACGCUGAAGCUUGGUGCUUGCACCCGAGCGGAUGAGUUGCGAACGGGUGAGUAACGCGUAGGUAACCUGCCUCUUAGCGGGGGAUAACUAUUGGAAACGAUAGCUAAUACCGCAUAAAAGUCGAUAUCGCAUGAUAUUGAUUUGAAAGGUGCAAUUGCAUCACUAAGAGAUGGACCUGCGUUGUAUAGCUAGUUGGUGAGGUAACGGCUCACCAAGGCGACGAUACAUAGCCGACCUGAGAGGGUGAUCGGCCACACUGGGACUGAGACACGGCCCAGACUCCUACGGGAGGCAGCAGUAGGGAAUCUUCGGCAAUGGGGGCAACCCUGACCGAGCAACGCCGCGUGAGUGAAGAAGGUUUUCGGAUCGUAAAGCUCUGUUGUAAGAGAAGAACGAGUGUGAGAGUGGAAAGUUCACACUGUGACGGUAACUUACCAGAAAGGGACGGCUAACUACGUGCCAGCAGCCGCGGUAAUACGUAGGUCCCGAGCGUUAUCCGGAUUUAUUGGGCGUAAAGCGAGCGCAGGCGGUUAGAUAAGUCUGAAGUUAAAGGCUGUGGCUUAACCAUAGUACGCUUUGGAAACUGUUUAACUUGAGUGCAGAAGGGGAGAGUGGAAUUCCAUGUGUAGCGGUGAAAUGCGUAGAUAUAUGGAGGAACACCGGUGGCGAAAGCGGCUCUCUGGUCUGUAACUGACGCUGAGGCUCGAAAGCGUGGGGAGCAAACAGG